GAUGAACGCUGGCGGCGUGCCUAAUACAUGCAAGUCGAGCGAACGGACGAGAAGCUUGCUUUUCUGAUGUUAGCGGCGGACGGGUGAGUAACACGUGGAUAACCUACCUAUAAGACUGGGAUAACUUCGGGAAACCGGAGCUAAUACCGGAUAAUAUUUUGAACCGCAUGGUUCAAAAGUGAAAGACGGUCUUGCUGUCACUUAUAGAUGGAUCCGCGCUGCAUUAGCUAGUUGGUAAGGUAACGGCUUACCAAGGCAACGAUGCAUAGCCGACUUGGAAGGUGAUGAGCCAACAUGGAAAUGAAGAACGGUUCAAGACCCCAACGGGAGGCGGAAGUGGGAAAUUUUCCGCAAGGGGCGAAAGCCUGACGAACCAUCGCGGCGUGAUGGAUGAAGGCUUUCGGAUCGUAAAACUCUGUUAUUAGGAAAGAACAUAUGUGUAAGUAACUGUGCUCAUCUGGACGUUACCUAAGCAUAAAGCCACGGUUAAUUACUU
RNAcentral lists this ribosomal RNA (496 nucleotides) under uncultured bacterium. RNAcentral's name for it is "partial 16S ribosomal RNA". It matches the Rfam family "Bacterial small subunit ribosomal RNA", at positions 28 to 506 of the family's 1533-position model. The record is from RNAcentral.